UUUUAUGAGAGUUUGAUCCUGGCUCAGGACGAACGCUGGCGGCGUGCCUAAUACAUGCAAGUCGAACGCUUCUUUUUCCACCGGAGCUUGCUCCACCGGAAAAAGAAGAGUGGCGAACGGGUGAGUAACACGUGGGUAACCUGCCCAUCAGAAGGGGAUAACACUUGGAAACAGGUGCUAAUACCGUAUAACAAUCAAAACCGCAUGGUUUUGAUUUGAAAGGCGCUUUCGGGUGUCGCUGAUGGAUGGACCCGCGGUGCAUUAGCUAGUUGGUGAGGUAACGGCUCACCAAGGCCACGAUGCAUAGCCGACCUGAGAGGGUGAUCGGCCACAUUGGGACUGAGACACGGCCCAAACUCCUACGGGAGGCAGCAGUAGGGAAUCUUCGGCAAUGGACGAAAGUCUGACCGAGCAACGCCGCGUGAGUGAAGAAGGUUUUCGGAUCGUAAAACUCUGUUGUUAGAGAAGAACAAGGAUGAGAGUAACUGUUCAUCCCUUGACGGUAUCUAACCAGAAAGCCACGGCUAACUACGUGCCAGCAGCCGCGGUAAUACGUAGGUGGCAAGCGUUGUCCGGAUUUAUUGGGCGUAAAGCGAGCGCAGGCGGUUUCUUAAGUCUGAUGUGAAAGCCCCCGGCUCAACCGGGGAGGGUCAUUGGAAACUGGGAGACUUGAGUGCAGAAGAGGAGAGUGGAAUUCCAUGUGUAGCGGUGAAAUGCGUAGAUAUAUGGAGGAACACCAGUGGCGAAGGCGGCUCUCUGGUCUGUAACUGACGCUGAGGCUCGAAAGCGUGGGGAGCAAACAGGAUUAGAUACCCUGGUAGUCCACGCCGUAAACGAUGAGUGCUAAGUGUUGGAGGGUUUCCGCCCUUCAGUGCUGCAGCUAACGCAUUAAGCACUCCGCCUGGGGAGUACGACCGCAAGGUUGAAACUCAAAGGAAUUGACGGGGGCCCGCACAAGCGGUGGAGCAUGUGGUUUAAUUCGAAGCAACGCGAAGAACCUUACCAGGUCUUGACAUCCUUUGACCACUCUAGAGAUAGAGCUUCCCCUUCGGGGGCAAAGUGACAGGUGGUGCAUGGUUGUCGUCAGCUCGUGUCGUGAGAUGUUGGGUUAAGUCCCGCAACGAGCGCAACCCUUAUUGUUAGUUGCCAUCAUUCAGUUGGGCACUCUAGCAAGACUGCCGGUGACAAACCGGAGGAAGGUGGGGAUGACGUCAAAUCAUCAUGCCCCUUAUGACCUGGGCUACACACGUGCUACAAUGGGAAGUACAACGAGUCGCGAAGUCGCGAGGCUAAGCUAAUCUCUUAAAGC
RNAcentral lists this ribosomal RNA (1309 nucleotides) under Enterococcus faecium. RNAcentral's name for it is "bacterial SSU rRNA". It matches the Rfam family "Bacterial small subunit ribosomal RNA", at positions 1 to 1282 of the family's 1533-position model. The record is from RNAcentral. Lineage: Bacteria; Bacillati; Bacillota; Bacilli; Lactobacillales; Enterococcaceae.